UUAGGCUUAGGCUCAGGCUUAGGCUUAAGCUCAGGCUCAGGCUUAGGCUUAGGUUUAGGCUUAGGCUUAGGCUUAGUCUUAGGCUUAGGCUUAGGCUUAGGCUUAGGCUUAGGCUUAGGCUUAGUUUUAGGCUUAGGCUUAG
Caenorhabditis elegans is the source of this 142-nucleotide non-coding RNA. Lineage: Eukaryota; Metazoa; Nematoda; Chromadorea; Rhabditida; Rhabditidae. The record is from Ensembl.